UUUUGGUCCCCUAUGUUUUGCCCCCUUUGCACUUUUGACCCCCUAGGCCAAUUUUGACCAAGUCAAUGUUGACGUGACGUCACAUGUGUAAUUUUUUUAAUUAUUAAAAAAAUACUUUUUUUAUUUUUUUAAAAUUUUUUAAUUAAAAAAUAAAAAAAUUACACAUGUGGUGCCACGUCAGCAUUGACUUGGUCAAAAUUGGCCUAGGGGGCCAAAAGUGCAUAGGGGGCAAAACAUAGGGGGCCAAAA
This is a microRNA precursor of Medicago truncatula (barrel medic), 249 nucleotides long. It matches the Rfam family "MIR2619 microRNA precursor family". The record is from Rfam. Lineage: Eukaryota; Viridiplantae; Streptophyta; Magnoliopsida; Fabales; Fabaceae.